RNAcentral lists this transfer RNA (73 nucleotides) under Ovis aries (sheep). It matches the Rfam family "tRNA". Rfam says of the family: Transfer RNA (tRNA) molecules are approximately 80 nucleotides in length. Their secondary structure includes four short double-helical elements and three loops (D, anti-codon, and T loops). Further hydrogen bonds mediate the characteristic L-shaped molecular structure. tRNAs have two regions of fundamental functional importance: the anti-codon, which is responsible for specific mRNA codon recognition, and the 3' end, to which the tRNAs corresponding amino acid is attached (by aminoacyl-tRNA synthetases). tRNAs cope with the degeneracy of the genetic code in two manners: having more than one tRNA (with a specific anti-codon) for a particular amino acid; and 'wobble' base-pairing, i.e. permitting non-standard base-pairing at the 3rd anti-codon position. Lineage: Eukaryota; Metazoa; Chordata; Mammalia; Artiodactyla; Bovidae. The record is from Rfam by way of RNAcentral.
UCCCUGGUGAUCCAGUGGCUAAGACUCCACACUUUCAAUGCAAGGAACCCAGGUUCGAUCCCUGGUCAGGGAA